This 497-nucleotide ribosomal RNA is filed under the name uncultured bacterium. RNAcentral's name for it is "partial 16S ribosomal RNA". It matches the Rfam family "Bacterial small subunit ribosomal RNA", at positions 28 to 507 of the family's 1533-position model. The record is from RNAcentral.
GACGAACGCUGGCGGCGUGCCUAAUACAUGCAAGUUGAGCGCUGAAGGUUGGUACUUGUACCAACUGGAUGAGCAGCGAACGGGUGAGUAACGCGUGGGGAAUCUGCCUUUGAGCGGGGGACAACAUUUGGAAACGAAUGCUAAUACCGCAUAAAAACUUUAAACCAAAUUUUAAAUUUUGAAAAAUCCAUUUGAAUCACUCAAAGUUAAUCCCGCGUUGUAUUAGCUAGUUGGUGAGGUAAAGGCUCACCAAGGCGAUGAUACAUAGCCGACCUGAGAGGGUGAUCGGCCACAUUGGGACUGAGACACGGCCCAAACUCCUACGGGAGGCAGCAGUAGGGAAUCUUCGGCAAUGGACGAAAGUCUGACCGAGCAACGCCGCGUGAGUGAAGAAGGUUUUCGGAUCGUAAAACUCUGUUGGUAGAGAAGAACGUUGGUGAGAGUGGAAAGCUCAUCAAGUGACGGUAACUACCCAGAAAGGGACGGCUAACUACGUG